Molecule: long non-coding RNA, 728 nt
Organism: Dromaius novaehollandiae (emu)
Lineage: Eukaryota; Metazoa; Chordata; Aves; Casuariiformes; Dromaiidae
Exons: 3
Source: RefSeq, a predicted model, not a curated record
CUUUAACAUGUUGAUAAAUCACCUGUCUAUUUUCCCUCUUUAAUCGCUUUGUCUCGUCUUACACACUAGAAGAUUGUUGGAGAAAAGGUCACUGUCUGUUACACGACUGUUUACUGCCUAGCAAAACAGGACCCCAGAUAUUACUGAAACAUAACUGAAACGUAAGGAUAAUACUGUCGAACUGAAGGUUCUUGAGCCAAGUAAGUUGCCUCUAGAGACCCUUUUGAAAACUGAGGAUGCUGUGGGUGGAGUUCAUUCAGAGUUCAGCUCUCUCAACCCCUGCAGGCCACUUAAACUCUUCGCAGACUGUUUUCUGACUUCCUGCCAGCUUUCUAGUUACUGCUGCUGAAUACAAAACCCAGAACUGAAUGGCUAUCCUGACUUGCACGAAAGCAUGGCGUUAAAUCACAGCAUGAGGUCAAGACAACUGAGCCUGAAAAUGCAAAAGAAUGAGACAGCAGACUGUUCUGUGUCAUGCAGCUUUGACUUCCUCCGCUUACCAACUGUGGAGCACAAGGUGAUCUCAGGUGUUCGGGGAACUUCCAGAAUUCACUGACACUUGGCAGCAUCCAGCUGUGGCUUCUCAGAAACAGCUGGCCAGAUCUUGCACCGAGUAGGCAAAGACUAGAACAAAGACGACAUAGUGAGGAUGGAGUGAAGCUGAGUAAGCGGAACAGAAAUGAAAAAGCAAGAGAAAGGUCUAUUGUAAAGAAGGGAAGAAUGCAGAC